UCAUGACUCUCGACAACGGAUAUCUUGGCUCUUGCAUCGAUGAAGAACGCAGCGAAAUGUGAUAUAUGGUGUGAAUUGCAGAAUCCCGUGAACCAUCGAGUACUUGAACGCAAGUUGCGCCUGAGGCCAAGUGGUUGAUGGCACACCUGCCUGGUUGUCGUCG
This 163-nucleotide ribosomal RNA is filed under the name Neuwiedia zollingeri var. singapureana. RNAcentral describes it as "5.8S ribosomal RNA". It matches the Rfam family "5.8S ribosomal RNA". From Rfam's summary of the family: 5.8S ribosomal RNA (5.8S rRNA) is a component of the large subunit of the eukaryotic ribosome. Lineage: Eukaryota; Viridiplantae; Streptophyta; Magnoliopsida; Asparagales; Orchidaceae. The record is from RNAcentral.